This 349-nucleotide ribosomal RNA is filed under the name uncultured bacterium. RNAcentral's name for it is "bacterial SSU rRNA". It matches the Rfam family "Bacterial small subunit ribosomal RNA", at positions 8 to 353 of the family's 1533-position model. The record is from RNAcentral.
AGAGUUUGAUCAUGGCUCAGGACGAACGCUGGCGGCAUGCUUUACACAUGCAAGUCGAACGGCAGCACAGGGGAGCUUGCUCCCGGGUGGCGAGUGGCGCACGGGUGAGUAAUACAUCGGAACGUGUCCUGUUGUGGGGGGAUAACUGCUCGAAAGGGUGGCUAAUACCGCAUGAGACCUGAGGGUGAAAGCGGGGGAUCGCAAGACCUCGCGCAAUUGGAGCGGCCGAUGCCCGAUUAGCUAGUUGGUGAGGUAAAGGCUCACCAAGGCGACGAUCGGUAGCUGGUCUGAGAGGACGACCAGCCACACUGGGACUGAGACACGGCCCAGACUCCUACGGGAGGCAGCA